This 1311-nucleotide long non-coding RNA is filed under the name Gossypium raimondii (Peruvian cotton). RNAcentral describes it as "long non-coding RNA (GRAI_LNC007842)". The record is from RNAcentral. Lineage: Eukaryota; Viridiplantae; Streptophyta; Magnoliopsida; Malvales; Malvaceae.
GCUUAGGUACUAUUUUAAGGGGUUAAAUUGUUUUUAAAGUAGAUUUAGUGAUUUUACUAACUUAAGUAGCAAUUUGAAAAAGAAAAAAAAAUUUAUGUACUACUUAAUACUUAUGUGUAACUCUAAUUUUUCUUGGUAAUUCAGUGUGGAACAAAUGUGGUUGUAAGACCCAAAUUUUGCCCGGGCCCAACACUCAAAUUAAACAAAUGUCCAUUUACAAACCCAAAAUGCCAGCCCAAAAUUAAAUCUAACCCAACAGACCCAAAAAUUAAAAAACCUAAUGGUCCACAAACUAAAAAAGUUUCAGCAGCAGCCAACCCUAGCCACAUGCAGUUAGUCGCCACCCUUCAAUCUGCGCGUGGCCUCCUCUGACACUACCGCCGCAUGCCUGUCACCGGCCAUCUAUGCGUCCGCUACCUGCAAGAGAGAACCACACGCAAUAGCAGAAACAAAUACAACAAACAAAUAGCAAAACGACAAAGAAAAUAAUGGUUAAGAACAUUGUAAUCUGGCUAUAAAAGCCCCAAGCAGUUUCUUUGUAUUUUUUCUGGACACUCUUACAAACAUUGGAAAUAAAAAUCAAAAGAUUAUCUUCUGCGUUCUUGUCUGAUUUAUUUAUUUAUUUAUUUUUCAUUUUUUUUCUUUUACAAAUCUUUUUUAAAUAUUAAUAAAAAGAAAAAAAAAGGAAAAGGAAAGGGGAAUACCUGAGGUCGCCAGCAAAGCCCGUCGCCGGAGCCUUGUUCGGUCACCAAAAUUGGGACGGGAGAGGGCGUGGCUUCUUCUUCUUCUUUCGGUCUUAGGGCCCAGAAGGCUAGGCCUUCCAGUAUUUUUUGAAUCGGGUUGAAAAUCCGAUCUCCGCGUUGCUUCGAUCACCGCCUACGAUGGAGCCACGGCAACACAGACAGUGGCCCUAUUGGCCGGAUUUGAGGCUGUUAGAGAGAGAGUUUGAAAGCUCUCUGAAUUUUUUUAAAAGGUGGGUUUAAACAUUAUUUUUUGUUUUUUUAUAGUAUUUAUAUUGGGUAUAAAACGACGUCGUUUUGGGCCUUAGCAUCAGUGGCCAAAACGGCGCCGUUUUGAUGUUUGACCCGCGACCCGACCCAGUAACGCCAGGAUCAGCGUGUUUUGUUGGGAGGGGCUAAUUGCAUGUUCAGCCCCUCCGCUUUUGCAACAUAGUGUAAUCAGAUUCUUUUUUAUUUUUGAUUUGGGUCAUAAGAUUUACUGCUUGUUUCAUUUUAGUCCAUUGAAACGCAGCACAGGAAGUCAAUGGGAUAUUUUCCCGAUUAAUCCCCGCUUUACUUUGCGCAUUUGAAA